RNAcentral lists this transfer RNA (65 nucleotides) under Dipodomys ordii (Ord's kangaroo rat). It matches the Rfam family "tRNA". From Rfam's summary of the family: Transfer RNA (tRNA) molecules are approximately 80 nucleotides in length. Their secondary structure includes four short double-helical elements and three loops (D, anti-codon, and T loops). Lineage: Eukaryota; Metazoa; Chordata; Mammalia; Rodentia; Heteromyidae. The record is from Rfam by way of RNAcentral.
GGUGGCUCAGUGGUAGAGUGCUUGCCUUGCAUGCAUGAGACCCUGGGUUCGAUUCGUCAGCACCA